RNAcentral lists this ribosomal RNA (464 nucleotides) under Shuttleworthella satelles. RNAcentral describes it as "bacterial SSU rRNA". It matches the Rfam family "Bacterial small subunit ribosomal RNA", at positions 28 to 490 of the family's 1533-position model. Lineage: Bacteria; Bacillati; Bacillota; Clostridia; Lachnospirales; Lachnospiraceae. The record is from RNAcentral.
GAUGAACGCUGGCGGCGUGCUUAACACAUGCAAGUCGAACGAGAAAUAAUAUUCGGAACUCUUCGGAGAACCCUUUUAUUUCGAGUGGCGGACGGGUGAGUAACGCGUGAGCAACCUGCCCUGUACCGGGGGAUACCAGUUGGAAACGACUGUUAAUACCGCAUAAGCGCACGAUAAGACAUCUUGUUGUGUGAAAAACUCCGGUGGUAUAGGAUGGGCUCGCGUAUGAUUAGCCAGUUGGCGGGGUAAAGGCCCACCAAAGCGACGAUCAUUAGCCGACCUGAGAGGGCGACCGGCCACAUUGGGACUGAGACACGGCCCAAACUCCUACGGGAGGCAGCAGUGGGGAAUAUUGCACAAUGGGCGAAAGCCUGAUGCAGCGACGCCGCGUGAGUGAGGAAGUAUUUCGGUAUGUAAAGCUCUAUCAGCAGGGAAGAAAGAAAUGACGGUACCUGAGUAAGAAG